AGUUUGAUCCUGGCUCAGGAUGAACGCUAGCGGCAGGCUUAAUACAUGCAAGUCGUGGGGCAGCAGGACUGUAGCAAUACAGUUGCUGGCGACCGGCAAACGGGUGCGGAACACGUACGCAACUUACCCUUAAGUGGGGGAUAGCCCGGGGAAACCCGGAUUAAUACCUCGUAACACUGAGGAGUGGCAUCACUCUUUAGUUAUAGCUCCGGCGCUUAAGGAUGGGCGUGCGUCCCAUUAGGUAGUUGGUAGGGUAAUGGCCUACCAAGCCUGCGAUGGGUAACUGGUGUGAGAGCACGACCAGUCACACGGGCACUGAGACACGGGCCCGACUCCUACGGGAGGCAGCAGUAAGGAAUAUUGGUCAAUGGACGCAAGUCUGAACCAGCCAUGCCGCGUGGAGGAUGAAGGCCCUCUGGGUUGUAAACUUCUUUUAUGUGGGACGAAACCCUGGAUUUUCAUCCAGCCUGACGGUACCACAGGAAUAAGCACCGGCUAACUCCGUGCCAGCAGCCGCGGUAAUACGGAGGGUGCAAGCGUUAUCCGGAUUCACUGGGUUUAAAGGGUGCGUAGGCGGGCAAGUAAGUCAGUGGUGAAAUCCUGGAGCUCAACUCCAGAACUGCCGUUGAUACUAUUUGUCUUGAAUACCCGGGAGGUGAGCGGAAUAUGUCAUGUAGCGGUGAAAUGCUUAGAUAUGACAUAGAACACCGAUUGCGAAAGGCAGCUCACUACAGGGUCAUUGACGCUGAGGCACGAAAGCGUGGGGAUCAAACAGGAUUAGAUACCCUGGUAGUCCACGCCCUAAACGAUGGAUACUCGACGUAUGCGAUAUGACUGCAUGCGUCUGAUCCCA
RNAcentral lists this ribosomal RNA (853 nucleotides) under uncultured bacterium. RNAcentral describes it as "bacterial SSU rRNA". It matches the Rfam family "Bacterial small subunit ribosomal RNA", at positions 10 to 855 of the family's 1533-position model. The record is from RNAcentral.